This 179-nucleotide small nuclear RNA is filed under the name Moschus moschiferus (Siberian musk deer). RNAcentral's name for it is "U4 spliceosomal RNA (ENSMMSG00000014639.1)". The stretch from base 1 to 78 matches the Rfam family "U4 spliceosomal RNA". The record is from RNAcentral. Lineage: Eukaryota; Metazoa; Chordata; Mammalia; Artiodactyla; Moschidae.
AGCUUUGCGCAGUGGCAGUAUCGUAGCCAAUGAGGUUUAUCCGAGGUGCGAUUAUUGCUAAUUGGAUAUUUGUACUUUGGCAUGCAGUACAAGCAUCGGACUUUGCUUCUGGGUAUUUGUUUCGCUUUGGCUCCAUCCCUUCAUUCUUUCUGGAGUUAUUUCUCCACUGAUCUCCAGUA